RNAcentral lists this ribosomal RNA (492 nucleotides) under uncultured bacterium. RNAcentral's name for it is "partial 16S ribosomal RNA". It matches the Rfam family "Bacterial small subunit ribosomal RNA", at positions 29 to 507 of the family's 1533-position model. The record is from RNAcentral.
AGUGAACGCUGGCGGUAGGCCUAACACAUGCCAGUCGAACGGCAGCACAGUAAGAGCUUGCUCUUACGGGUGGCGAGUGGCGGACGGGUGAGGAAUACAUCGGAAUCUACUUUUUCGUGGGGGAUAACGUAGGGAAACUUACGCUAAUACCGCAUACGACCUACGGGUGAAAGCAGGGGAUCUUCGGACCUUGCGCGAUUGAAUGAGCCGAUGUCGGAUUAGCUAGUUGGCGGGGUAAAGACCCACCAAGGCGACGAUCCGUAGCUGGUCUGAGAGGAUGAUCAGCCACACUGGAACUGAGACACGGUCCAGACUCCUACGGGAGGCAGCAGUGGGGAAUAUUGGACAAUGGGCGCAAGCCUGAUCCAGCCAUACCGCGUGGGUGAAGAAGGCCUUCGGGUUGUAAAGCCCUUUUGUUGGGAAAGAAAAGCAGCAGGUUAAUACCCCGCUGUUCUGACGGUACCCAAAGAAUAAGCACCGGCUAACUUCGUG